Molecule: ribosomal RNA, 499 nt
Filed under: uncultured Glomeromycotina
Lineage: Eukaryota; Fungi; Glomeromycota
Description: partial small subunit ribosomal RNA
Rfam family: Eukaryotic small subunit ribosomal RNA
Source: RNAcentral
CCAAUAGCGUAUAUUAAAGUUGCUGCAGUUAAAAAGCUCGUAGUUGAAUUUCGGGACCAUCAUGUCGGUCGUGCCUCGGUACGUACUGGUAUUGUUGGUUUCUCCCUUCUGACGAACCAUGAUGUCAUUUAUUUGGUGUUGUGGGGAAUCAGGACUGUUACCUUGAAAAAAUUAGAGUGUUUAAAGCAGGCUCACGCUUGAAUACAUUAGCAUGGAAUAAUGAAAUAGGACGUUUGAUUCUAUUUUGUUGGUUUCUAGGAUCGACGUAAUGAUUAAUAGGGAUAGUUGGGGGCAUUAGUAUUCAAUUGUCAGAGGUGAAAUUCUUGGAUUUAUUGAAGACUAACUACUGCGAAAGCAUUUGCCAAGGAUGUUUUCAUUAAUCAAGAACGAAAGUUAGGGGAUCGAAGACGAUCAGAUACCGUCGUAGUCUUAACCAUGAACUAUGCCGACUAGGGAUCGGAUGAUGUUAAUUUUUUAAUGACUCAUUCGGCGCCUUACG